Chinchilla lanigera (long-tailed chinchilla) is the source of this 721-nucleotide long non-coding RNA. RefSeq lists it as uncharacterized. The record is from RefSeq and is a predicted model, not a curated record. NCBI's taxonomy places the organism in Eukaryota, Metazoa, Chordata, Mammalia, Rodentia, Chinchillidae. The transcript has 5 exons.
UACACGUGGGGCUUUUGGGAGGGGUCAUCAAUAUUCGCUGACAUCAGCUGAGUGUGGGAGACUUGAAGCAACCCUUCAGAUGAUUUCAACCCCCAAAUUUCCUUCUGAGGAAGACAGGAAGUUCAGCCCCUCAUGAACUGGGGUCCCCACCCUGGGCCAAUUUGUCCAGUGAGUGUUCAAUUGUCCAUCCCUGCACAAACACAGGCUGAAGAUUUAUUUUGAAGAAUCUAAUUCUAGAAUCUUUGAGCCACAAAGAAUGCAAUAAAAUACCUGCUCCUUGGACAUGGAGAUGACACCCUACAGACAGAGGCCCCAAGUGGUGAAAUGAUUUGCACAAGGUCUCGGAGGGAAAGUGUCAGAACCAGGACAUUUUCAAAUCCAGCUUGCAGGUCCUAGACAGGAGGGAUUCCCACAGGCCCCAUUGCCUGCCCAGGUGAGCCUUGGACUAGCUGAGCAGUUUCUCUGGAGCAGCCUAAUAAAUGAUAGAAGCUCCAUGAAUAUUUGCUGAGGAAGAAUGGGUGAAUGAAUCCAAAGCUUAGAAUGUCAGUGAUCCUUGUGGCAGCAGGGAGCAAAUUCACCUGGAGUCCGGGGCUCCUGUGUAGGCCACAUCUCGCAGAAUCAGAGCUGCAGUGCCUCCCAUUAGCCAGCCAAGCAGAGGGAUGGAUGCCCAGCAACAGCAGAAAAUAACCCAUGCUACUCAGUGGUAAAUCAAGAAGUUUAU